This 237-nucleotide unclassified non-coding RNA is filed under the name uncultured fungus. Its description in RNAcentral is "partial contains 5.8S ribosomal RNA, internal transcribed spacer 2, and large subunit ribosomal RNA". The stretch from base 1 to 52 matches the Rfam family "5.8S ribosomal RNA", at positions 103 to 154 of the family's 154-position model. Lineage: Eukaryota; Fungi. The record is from RNAcentral.
AACGCACAUUGCGCCCCCUGGUAUUCCGGGGGGCAUGCCUGUUCGAGCGUCAUUUCACCACUCAAGCCUCGCUUGGUAUUGGGCGUCGCGAGUCUCUCGCGCGCCUCAAAGUCUCCGGCUGUUCGGUUCAUCUCCCAGCGUUGUGGCAACUAUUUCGCAGUGGAGUUUGAAGCGUUUCGGCCGUUAAAUCUUUCAAAGGUUGACCUCGGAUCAGGUAGGGAUACCCGCUGAACUUAA